RNAcentral lists this transfer RNA (81 nucleotides) under Rhipicephalus microplus (southern cattle tick). RNAcentral's name for it is "tRNA-Leu". It matches the Rfam family "tRNA". From Rfam's summary of the family: Transfer RNA (tRNA) molecules are approximately 80 nucleotides in length. Lineage: Eukaryota; Metazoa; Arthropoda; Arachnida; Ixodida; Ixodidae. The record is from Rfam by way of RNAcentral.
GGUAGCGUGGCCGAGCGGUCUAAGGCGCUGGUUUAAGGCACCAGUCUCUUGGGGGCGUGGGGUCGAAUCCCACCGCUGCCA